Molecule: long non-coding RNA, 909 nt
Organism: Tympanuchus pallidicinctus (lesser prairie-chicken)
Lineage: Eukaryota; Metazoa; Chordata; Aves; Galliformes; Phasianidae
Exons: 3
Source: RefSeq, a predicted model, not a curated record
CCAGAAAUCUCUUCUUCUUGGAGUUUUUCACUGUGAGCCUAAAUCCUUGGAUAUGGGAUGAAGUUUUGGACUGCCUGGAGUCCCAUAACAUUAUGAGAAAGAAGUAGCAAUACUAUUGUCAUGGUUGAAGAAGCACAUUCAUUAUCAGUGUAUCCCUCUUUUUUGAAACAAUGAUACUUGGGAAGAUACACUGGAACCUCCCUUCUUAUCAAGAUAUGAAGUAGAGAAAAUACCUUUUCCUCUAAGCAGUCUAUGAAAAUGACACAAAUUUUUAUGAAUUUACUGGUAUACAGAAUUGAUAGUUAAGCCUGGUAAAGUUCAUUCGGUGAAUUAUCAGUACCUGUUGGGAAUGUUUAAAACUGGGCAGAAAGGAUGUCUCUUUUUAACAGUGCACAUUCUCUUUACAUUCUCGAGUCACCUUCACCUUUCCAGCCGGUAUGGCUCUGAGCAUAUACCAGUGUUUUGCCUCAUGCUGCACUACACCAGAUAGAGAUUCACAUAGUAAGUGCGUGGUUUUACUUCAGUUUGUCAGGAAGAGAGAGACCCUUGCCAGGAGCAAAUCUCUCUGAUGAAUUAAAUUCAGGAAACUAGCUCAUUUCAGGGCAUGGAGCUUUCUCAGCGUUACUGUGUUUCAGCAUUAGUAUCAGUGGUAGAAAUAAAACCCCAAAGUGUAUAGAAAAGAAGAUUGUGAACUGUGACAGUAUUCAUGACCAUAGUCCUUGUAAAAAUAUGUUCGGCUGAUUGGGACUUUUUAAUAUAUUCUGUAAUGGGAAGGUGAAAAUUCUCAGUGAUUUUAAUUGCUAGGGAAAGUGUUAUAAAUGAAGCAUUGAAGGGUAAAAUGAAGUUACAAGAUGAACUAGCAGGAGGGUAAAAGACAUUUGUACAAGAAGGAUACUGAGAGAUUUUCAC